GACGGAGGAUGCAAGUGUUAUCCGGAAUCACUGGGCGUAAAGCGUCUGUAGGUGGUUAAAUAAGUCAACUGUUAAAUCUUGAGGCUCAACCUCAAAAUCGCAGUCGAAACUAUUUGACUAGAGUAUAGUAGGGGUAAAGGGAAUUUCCAGUGGAGCGGUGAAAUGCGUAGAGAUUGGAAAGAACACCGAUGGCGAAGGCACUUUACUGGGCUAUUACUAACACUGAGAGGCGAAAGCUAGGGUAGCAAAUGCG
This 253-nucleotide ribosomal RNA is filed under the name uncultured bacterium. Its description in RNAcentral is "partial 16S ribosomal RNA". It matches the Rfam family "Bacterial small subunit ribosomal RNA", at positions 524 to 776 of the family's 1533-position model. The record is from RNAcentral.